RNAcentral lists this ribosomal RNA (460 nucleotides) under uncultured bacterium. RNAcentral's name for it is "partial 16S ribosomal RNA". It matches the Rfam family "Bacterial small subunit ribosomal RNA", at positions 338 to 795 of the family's 1533-position model. The record is from RNAcentral.
CCUACGGGAGGCAGCAGUGAGGAAUAUUGGUCAAUGGCCGUAAGGCUGAACCAGCCAAGUCGCGUGAAGGAAGAAGGAUCUAUGGUUUGUAAACUUCUUUUAUAGGGGAAUAAAGGUAUCCACGUGUGGAUAUUUGCAUGUACCCUAUGAAUAAGCAUCGGCUAACUCCGGGCCAGCAGCCGCGGUACUACGGAGGAUGCGAGCGUUAUCCGGAUUUAUUGGGUUUAAAGGGUGCGUAGGUUGUUUUUUAAGUCAGCGGUGAAAGUUUGUGGCUCAACCAUAAAAUUGCCGUUGAAACUGGAAGACUUGAGUGUGUUUGAGGUAGGCGGAAUGCGUGGUGUAGCGGUGAAAUGCGUAGAUAUCACGAAGAACUCCGAUUGCGAAGGCAGCUUACUAAGCCAUAACUGACACUGAAGCACGAAAGCGUGGGGAGCAAACAGGAUUAGAUACCCUGGUAGUC